GACGAACGCUGGCGGCGUGCCUAACACAUGCAAGUCGAACGGAAAGGCCCUGCACUUGUGGGAUGCUCGAGAGGCGAAAGCGGGAGUAACACGUGAGUAAACUGCCCUUUACAUCGGGAUAAAUUCAGGGAACACGGGCGAAUACAGGACAGGAACUCCUGCAGCACGAGGGGGGAUGGAGAGAUACGGAGGUUGGGGACGGAAUGGCGGCUUAUCCGCUUGUUGGUGGGGUAGUGGAUUAACGGGGCAUUGACGGGUAGCCGGCCUGAGAGUGUGACCGGCCACAUUGGGACUGAGGUGCGGGCCAUACUGCUACGUGGGGCAUCAGUGGGGGACAUUGCACGAUGGGCGGAAGCCUUAUGCAGCAACUCCGCGUGCGGGAUGACUGCCUUCGGGUUGUAAACCGCGUGCGCCUGGGACGAAGCGUGAGUGACGGUAAUUGGUAAAGAAGCACCGGCUAACUACGUG
Molecule: ribosomal RNA, 468 nt
Filed under: uncultured bacterium
Lineage: Bacteria
Description: partial 16S ribosomal RNA
Rfam family: Bacterial small subunit ribosomal RNA
Source: RNAcentral